RNAcentral lists this ribosomal RNA (464 nucleotides) under Vreelandella stevensii. RNAcentral's name for it is "partial 16S ribosomal RNA". It matches the Rfam family "Bacterial small subunit ribosomal RNA", at positions 338 to 795 of the family's 1533-position model. The record is from RNAcentral. Lineage: Bacteria; Pseudomonadati; Pseudomonadota; Gammaproteobacteria; Oceanospirillales; Halomonadaceae.
CCUACGGGAGGCAGCAGUGGGGAAUAUUGGACAAUGGGGCAACCCUGAUCCAGCCAUGCCGCGUGUGUGAAGAAGGCCCUCGGGUUGUAAAGCACUUUCAGUGAGGAAGAACGCCUGGUGGUUAAUACCCAUCAGGAAAGACAUCACUCACAGAAGAAGCACCGGCUAACUCCGUGCCAGCAGCCGCGGUAAUACGGAGGGUGCGAGCGUUAAUCGGAAUUACUGGGCGUAAAGCGCGCGUAGGUGGCUUGAUAAGCCGGUUGUGAAAGCCCCGGGCUCAACCUGGGAACGGCAUCCGGAACUGUCAAGCUAGAGUGCAGGAGAGGAAGGUAGAAUUCCCGGUGUAGCGGUGAAAUGCGUAGAGAUCGGGAGGAAUACCAGUGGCGAAGGCGGCCUUCUGGACUGACACUGACACUGAGGUGCGAAAGCGUGGGUAGCAAACAGGAUUAGAUACCCUAGUAGUC